This 253-nucleotide ribosomal RNA is filed under the name uncultured bacterium. Its description in RNAcentral is "partial 16S ribosomal RNA". It matches the Rfam family "Bacterial small subunit ribosomal RNA", at positions 524 to 776 of the family's 1533-position model. The record is from RNAcentral.
UACAGAGGGGGCGAGCGUUGUUCGGAAUUACUGGGCGUAAAGGGCGCGUAGGCGGCCCGCUAAGUCGAACGUGAAAUCCCCAGGCUCAACCUGGGAACUGCGUCCGAUACUGGCGGGCUUGAAUCCGGGAGAGGGAUGUGGAAUUCCAGGUGUAGCGGUGAAAUGCGCAGAUAUCAGGAGGAACACCGGUGGCGAAGGCGGGUCUCUGGGCCGAUACUGACGCUGAGGAGCGAAAGCGUGGGGAGCGAACAGG